This 460-nucleotide ribosomal RNA is filed under the name uncultured bacterium. RNAcentral's name for it is "partial 16S ribosomal RNA". It matches the Rfam family "Bacterial small subunit ribosomal RNA", at positions 339 to 795 of the family's 1533-position model. The record is from RNAcentral.
CUACGGGGUGCAGCAGUAAGGAAUAUUGCGCAAUGGAGGCAACUCUGACGCAGCCAUGCCGCGUGCAGGAAGAAGGCCUUAUGGGUCGUAAACUGCCUUUAUUUAGGAAUAAACCCCCGAACGUGUUCGGGGCUGAAGGUACUAAACGAAUAAGCACCGGCUAACUCCGUGCCAGCAGGCCGCGGUAAUACGGAGGGUGCAAGCGUUAUCCGGAUUUCUUGGGUUUAAAGGGUGCGCAGGCGGGCUAUUAAGUCAGUGGUGAAAUCCCGGGGCUCAACUCCGGAACUGCCAUUGAUACUGAUAGUCUUGAGUUUGGUUGAAGUGGGCGGAAUGUAGCAUGUAGCGGUGAAAUGCAUAGAUAUGCUACAGAACACCAAUCGCGAAGGCAGCUCACUAAGCCAAAACUGACGCUCAUGCACGAAAGCGUGGGGAUCAAACAGGAUUAGAUACCCUCGUAGUC